This 73-nucleotide small nuclear RNA is filed under the name Echinops telfairi (small Madagascar hedgehog). Its description in RNAcentral is "U1 spliceosomal RNA (ENSETEG00000026830.1)". It matches the Rfam family "U1 spliceosomal RNA", at positions 1 to 74 of the family's 166-position model. From Rfam's summary of the family: U1 is a small nuclear RNA (snRNA) component of the spliceosome (involved in pre-mRNA splicing). Its 5' end forms complementary base pairs with the 5' splice junction, thus defining the 5' donor site of an intron. The record is from RNAcentral. Lineage: Eukaryota; Metazoa; Chordata; Mammalia; Afrosoricida; Tenrecidae.
UUACUUACCUGGCAGGGGACACACCAUGAUCAGGAAGGUGGUUUCCCAGGGUGAGGCUCGUUCAUGCACUGCC